RNAcentral lists this ribosomal RNA (481 nucleotides) under Spicara maena (blotched picarel). RNAcentral describes it as "partial 16S ribosomal RNA". It matches the Rfam family "Bacterial large subunit ribosomal RNA", at positions 1927 to 2556 of the family's 2925-position model. The record is from RNAcentral. Lineage: Eukaryota; Metazoa; Chordata; Actinopteri; Spariformes; Centracanthidae.
ACGGCCGCGGUAUUUUGACCGUGCGAAGGUAGCGCAAUCACUUGUCUUUUAAAUGGAGACCCGUAUGAAUGGCUCCACGAGGGCUUAGCUGUCUCCCCCUCCCAGUCAAUGAAAUUGAUCUCCCCGUGCAGAAGCGGGGAUACUUACAUAAGACGAGAAGACCCUAUGGAGCUUAAGGCGCCAGGACAGCUCAUGUUAAACACCCCUAGAUAAAGGAAUGAACCUAGUGAAUCCUGCCCCAGUGUUUUUGGUUGGGGCGACCGCGGGGAAAUACAAAACCCCCAUGUGGAGUAGGAACACUAUAUGUUCCCAAACCCAAGAGCUACCGCUCUAAUAAACAGAAUUUCUGACCAGCUAAGAUCCGGCAAUGCCGAUCAACGGAAGGAGUUACCCUAGGGAUAACAGCGCAAUCCUCUUAAAGAGUCCUUAUCGACAAGGGGGUUUACGACCUCGAUGUUGGAUCAGGACAUCCUAAUGGUGC